UGGGGAAUAUUGCGCAAUGGGGGGAACCCUGACGCAGCCAUGCCGCGUGAAUGAAGAAGGCCUUCGGGUUGUAAAGUUCUUUCGGUAUUGAGGAAGGUUGAUGUGUUAAUAGCACAUCAAAUUGACGUUAAAUACAGAAGAAGCACCGGCUAACUCCGUGCCAGCAGCCGCGGUAAUACGGAGGGUGCGAGCGUUAAUCGGAAUAACUGGGCGUAAAGGGCACGCAGGCGGUUAUUUAAGUGAGGUGUGAAAGCCCUGGGCUUAACCUGGGAAUUGCAUUUCAGACUGGGUAACUAGAGUACUUUAGGGAGGGGUAGAAUUCCACGUGUAGCGGUGAAAUGCGUAGAGAUGUGGAGGAAUACCGAAGGCGAAGGCAGCCCCUUGGGAAUGUACUGACGCUCAUGUGCGAAAGCGUGGGGAGCAAACAGGAUUAGAUACCCUGGUAGUCCACGCUGUAAACGCUGUCGAUUUGGGGAUUGGGCUUAGAGCUUGGUGCCCGCAGCUAACGUGAUAAAUCGACCGCCUGGGGAGUACGGCCGCAAGGUUA
Molecule: ribosomal RNA, 547 nt
Filed under: uncultured bacterium
Lineage: Bacteria
Description: bacterial SSU rRNA
Rfam family: Bacterial small subunit ribosomal RNA
Source: RNAcentral